Non-coding RNA from Pelobates cultripes (western spadefoot toad), 515 nucleotides. The record is from the annotation of a GenBank genome assembly. NCBI's taxonomy places the organism in Eukaryota, Metazoa, Chordata, Amphibia, Anura, Pelobatidae.
CCCACCACCCCCAUAUCCCCCUCAGUUGUUGUGACCUGGGGCCUGAAGUGAAAGCUAUGUGCACCUAUAUUACCAGUCUGCUCAGUCAGACACUCGGCAGCCGUUGUUAGGUUGUAAUUAUGUUUGCACGGACAGUCUGCUGAGGGCUUGUUCACUAAUGAAGUGUGGUCGAGCUGUGUCCUGGGUAGAAAGCCCUUUCUUCUAACAUGACUGAGGAUACGAUUCAGACUGACAUAUUUCAGUUCCCUGUCUCCAUACUGGGUGCAGGAUCCUUAACGGUGGGUCGUGCCAGAAACACAGUUCCCCUCAGGAAGCAGCUCAGCCAUGCUAUUUUAGGGUGUGUGAGUGAAUUUGAGUAUAUCAGUCUGUAUACGGCAGUGAUUGUGCUGGUUUACAAGGCUUUUAAAACAUGAACAAUUUUAGUUGCCUUCAAUGAUUUUUUAGGUGCUGAGUUCAGAUUCUGUUUCCAACACUGAUUCACAAUCCUCAUCUGAUUUGUAGGUGCUAAAGCCCUC